CCUACGGGUGGCAGCAGUGAGGAAUAUUGGUCAAUGGGCGAAAGCCUGAACCAGCCAAGUCGCGUGAGGGAUGAAGGUUCUAUGGAUCGUAAACCUCUUUUAUACGGGAAUAAAGUGCGGGACGUGUCCCGUUUUGUAUGUACCUUAUGAAUAAGGAUCGGCUAACUCCGUGCCAGCAGCCGCGGUAAUACGGAGGAUGCGAGCGUUAUCCGGAUUUAUUGGGUUUAAAGGGUGCGUAGGCGGCUGUUUAAGUCAGCGGUGAAAGUCUGUGGCUCAACCAUAGAAUUGCCGUUGAAACUGGUUGGCUUGAGGAUGUUUGAGGCAGGCGGAAUGCGUGGUGUAGCGGUGAAAUGCUUAGAUAUCACGCAGAACCCCGAUUGCGAAGGCAGCCUACCAAGCCAUGACUGACGCUGAUGCACGAAAGCGUGGGGAUCAAACAGGAUUAGAUACCCGAGUAGUC
Molecule: ribosomal RNA, 460 nt
Filed under: uncultured bacterium
Lineage: Bacteria
Description: partial 16S ribosomal RNA
Rfam family: Bacterial small subunit ribosomal RNA
Source: RNAcentral